UAUGCCGAACCGAUGAAAUCGACGAAAUAGGAACCUCAAAAAUCAACGAUUACAGAAGAAAACCCAGCAAGAUGAGGAAACCCUAGAUUUUUCAGAGAACAGAGAAACUCUGAUGAAAGUUGGUGAGGGUAACAUCGCGAGGAAGCCGGUGACGAGUAGAAUCAAAAUCGCUGCUCUGAUACCAUAUGAAAACAUUGAAUCACAUGGAUUGAUCGAGAUGUAUGUUGAGAGAUUGAAGAGAUGAUAAGAGAGAGAGAGAGAGAGAGAGAGAGAGAGAGAGAGGAAACCGACUGUCUAUCUCUAUUUCUG
Molecule: long non-coding RNA, 309 nt
Filed under: Nicotiana benthamiana
Lineage: Eukaryota; Viridiplantae; Streptophyta; Magnoliopsida; Solanales; Solanaceae
Description: long non-coding RNA (NBEN_LNC018141)
Source: RNAcentral